GCGGAGGGAUCAUUACUGAGUUUACGCUCUAUAACCCUUUGUGAACAUACCUAUAACUGUUGCUUCGGCGGGUAGGGUCUCCGCGACCCUCCCGGCCUCCCGCCUCCGGGCGGGUCGGCGCCCGCCGGAGGAUAACCAAACUCUGAUUUAACGACGUUUCUUCUGAGUGGUACAAGCAAAUAAUCAAAACUUUUAACAACGGAUCUCUUGGUUCUGGCAUCGAUGAAGAACGCAGCGAAAUGCGAUAAGUAAUGUGAAUUGCAGAAUUCAGUGAAUCAUCGAAUCUUUGAACGCACAUUGCGCCCGCCAGCAUUCUGGCGGGCAUGCCUGUUCGAGCGUCAUUUCAACCCUCAAGCUCUGCUUGGUGUUGGGGCCCUACAGCUGAUGUAGGCCCUCAAAGGUAGUGGCGGACCCUCCCGGAGCCUCCUUUGCGUAGUAACUUUACGUCUCGCACUGGGAUCCGGAGGGACUCUUGCCGUAAAACCCCCCAAUUUUCCAAAGGUUGACCUCGGAUCAGGUAG
This 521-nucleotide ribosomal RNA is filed under the name Colletotrichum cf. gloeosporioides ROG-2010. RNAcentral describes it as "eukaryotic LSU rRNA". The stretch from base 188 to 341 matches the Rfam family "5.8S ribosomal RNA". The record is from RNAcentral. Lineage: Eukaryota; Fungi; Ascomycota; Sordariomycetes; Glomerellales; Glomerellaceae.